UGACCAUUGAUGACUGCACGUUCCAGAG
Molecule: non-coding RNA, 28 nt
Filed under: Homo sapiens (human)
Lineage: Eukaryota; Metazoa; Chordata; Mammalia; Primates; Hominidae
Source: RNAcentral